This 61-nucleotide transfer RNA is filed under the name Echiuropus macronychus. RNAcentral describes it as "tRNA-Gly". Lineage: Eukaryota; Metazoa; Arthropoda; Malacostraca; Amphipoda; Acanthogammaridae. The record is from RNAcentral.
UUAGGUUUUAAGUUAUAUAAACUAUGAGCCUUCCAAGCUUAAAAAAAUAGAUUAAACCUAA